This 275-nucleotide unclassified non-coding RNA is filed under the name uncultured Ramicandelaber. RNAcentral's name for it is "sequence contains ITS2". The record is from RNAcentral. Lineage: Eukaryota; Fungi; Kickxellomycota; Kickxellomycetes; Kickxellales; Kickxellaceae.
UAUCUCUCCUAUACCAAUAUUUGUUGGAAUAGGGACUUGGGGUCUUCUCGUCGGAAAUUAACUCGUUUAAUACCCGGUGAACCCUUUAAAUAUAGCAAGCUCCCAUCUUUUAUCGGAAAUACGCAAACUUGGGGAUGGCGUCGUAGCAAUCACUCUUAUCAGUAUUGUCGAAGCGCCUAUUCAUACCUCUAAUCUGCGGUGCUAAUCCUUUUUCGGUGGGUGAAGCUUGGCGACUGGCAAAGUGCCAUGCUCCCUUAUUUGGAGUACACGAACAA